UUAAGAUUCAAAUAUAAAGUAUUUUUAAACUUUUAUUAAAA
This 41-nucleotide transfer RNA is filed under the name Apis mellifera (honey bee). Its description in RNAcentral is "partial tRNA-Leu". Lineage: Eukaryota; Metazoa; Arthropoda; Insecta; Hymenoptera; Apidae. The record is from RNAcentral.